This 1066-nucleotide long non-coding RNA is filed under the name Androctonus crassicauda. The record is from RNAcentral. Lineage: Eukaryota; Metazoa; Arthropoda; Arachnida; Scorpiones; Buthidae.
AGAUGACUCUGUCAAAAACGUUGGUUGCAACUUAAAAUAUUCUACACAGCAGAAAGUGAUUGAUAUAUAGUGUUUAUCUUUUUUAUUGUUUUUAUUCCACUUCCUUGAUGAAAGGUUCAUCAUGGAACAUCAACAGGUUAAAGAUUUUAGUUUGCAUUAUCUGUUUUGUGAGAGACCAGAGUUUGAGUUGGAAGUGAUGUGUCCUCACCUCUUAAUUUCAUUUUUUUUGGGAGAAAUGGAAAGAGGAAUUUGAAGGCAAGAGAGAAAUGCAUAAAAAGAUGAUAGGCAAUAAAAUAUCAUAAUCCAACCAUGGACUCUUGUCUCCAAUACAAUUAAAUUAUGACUAUAUAAACAGGUGUUGGGUGAGAACAAAUGUUCUAAAUAACGAUCUUGUUUUUCACUAACAGAGGUGAAGGGGCAAGUCACCAGAGCCAAUAUAAAUACUCACAUGGGAGUCAUUAGCAGAGAGGCCAAAAGUGAGAAGGACCGAUGUUCAGGAAAACAUGGGAAGAAGAGAGAGAGUGGUAUUUUGGCCAGAAAACUUCCAUCAUAGACCUCGCAAUCUCUCUCCUUUUUCUUUUUCUGCAUUAUCCAGCUUCACACCCAACGAGCUUCAUCAUUCAUUCUUUCCAUUGAGGAAUUUCUGUGAAGAUUUCAACACUAACUACGCUACACUGGACUGUAUCAUCUUAUACCCGAGAGUUGGCACCUAUGAUACUGAUUUGAAUUGGAAUUGUUUGGAUACUUCUUACCCCCCAAGGUAUUUGAUGUAAAUUGUUGGGCACUAUGUUAUAAAAUCAUAGAUCAUAUGUAAAGAAUUCUCUCUAUUAAUUUUAUUAAAAGGAAGUUAUUGGUUUAAUGACCUGUAAUCUCUUUCUUAGAAUUCGGCCUCAUCACCCAUUACCUGUAGCAUGCCAUUCACUGCGACAAGGCCAAAUGCCUGUAGUUUUGUCAGUUGGUCUCGUACACACCUUACAGUUUUAAGAAAAACAAUUUUCCAUAUUCAUCAAAUAUCAUAAGUCAUGACCAUCAAAAUUUCAUAAAAUAUAAAAUUGAGAUCACCUCC